ACGGAGGGUGCAAGCGUUAUCCGGAAUCACUGGGUUUAAAGGGUGCGUAGGCGGUGUUAUAAGUCAGAGGUGAAAGCUUGCAGCUUAACUGUGAAAUUGCCUUUGAAACUGUAGCACUUGAAUUAAGUUGAGGUUAGCGGAAUGUGACAUGUAGCGGUGAAAUGCAUAGAUAUGUCAUAGAACACCAAUUGCGAAGGCAGCUGACUAGACUUAUAUUGACGCUGAGGCACGAAAGCGUGGGGAGCGAACAGG
This 252-nucleotide ribosomal RNA is filed under the name uncultured bacterium. RNAcentral's name for it is "partial 16S ribosomal RNA". It matches the Rfam family "Bacterial small subunit ribosomal RNA", at positions 525 to 776 of the family's 1533-position model. The record is from RNAcentral.